This 192-nucleotide non-coding RNA is filed under the name Blautia sp. Lineage: Bacteria; Bacillati; Bacillota; Clostridia; Lachnospirales; Lachnospiraceae. The record is from RNAcentral.
CCACAUAGAAAAGCGUAAGGUGUCGGAUGACAGAAGAUUUCUGUUAAUCCGGUGAAAAGGGAAACAGGUGUGAAUCCUGUACGAACUCGUCACCGUGAUUCGCGAGGGAAGACAAAAACCACUGGGAAACCGGGAAGGUGUCAAACCGCUUGAACGAUCAGCCGGGAGACCUGCCUUUGCGCAGUACGGGAA